This 2180-nucleotide long non-coding RNA is filed under the name Homo sapiens (human). RNAcentral describes it as "non-protein coding lnc-KPNA4-1:2". The record is from RNAcentral. Lineage: Eukaryota; Metazoa; Chordata; Mammalia; Primates; Hominidae.
CAGUGCCCGAGGGUGGGGGAGAGGAUCGCGGAGCCCAGCCAGAGGCAGCCGAGCAAGCGGCUCCGAGCAGGCAGCGCGAGCAGAGGCAGCUUCCCUUUUGUCUCCCCGCCUCGGCGGCCCGGAGGCCCGUCCCUGCCGCCCGCGCCGCCUCCCUUCCCUGAGCCCCUUUGUGAGACCGCGGCGGCGGCGGUAGCAGCAGCCGCCGCAGCAGCAGCCGCUGGUGCCCCGGUUGGGCAAGAAGAAUCAAGUUAAAGUUGCGCUGGGCGGGUCUGCCGCGGUGAGCGGGAGAGUUCAGGGGCGCCGGCGCCCGCGCGGUCCCUCCGGGGGUGCCCCCUCGAGACUCCGGAGAGCGAUCAGCAGGUGAGGCGCAGGGCUCCAGAGCCCGGCGGACGAGGGACGCAGGUCCCCUCGGUCGCCGCCGAAGGGGAGCGCGGAGAUGGCGGAAGGUUCCAAUUCCUUCACACACCCCGGGGGCCCCAGAGAAUAAAAGUUUUGCGGGAGCCUGGGCAGAGACAGGGGUACGCAGAGCCCGGCGACGCGGCACGGUCGGUACUGAGCCGCAGGCGGCCGGCUGGGCUCUGCCUGCCUCUCCCAGGCACCUCCCGGCUCGGAUCGGCUCGGCUCAGCUCGGCUUCACUCGCGCGCUCCCUCCUCGCGUCCCGGCUCGCGCGCGCUCCGCCCCCCGCGCGCUCGCCCCGCCCCGUCCCGCCCCUUGAGUCGGGACUCGACACCCCGAGGUGUUCCCACCCAGCUGUCAGAGGCUGAGCAAGUUCCGCGGCCGCCGGUGCGGGCUCGCAGCCCCAUGCGGUCCAGGACAGCCAAGGGGGAGAAAAGAGGGAGGUCCGCUGCCUAGCUCUUGCGAAUCGUUGUUCCUUCCCCCUGUGCCGGCUCCUAAGACAAGCUAAUACUGACCCCGGUAGUCUUAGCGUUGGUUUUCCAGGAACUAUUGCUGCUCACUGGGAAGCCGAGAGCCAUACGUGAGCGUUCCCCCCUUCGGCGGCUGCACUAUAGUGCGGUCCCCGCUUCGCCAGCCAUAAGGCAAGCGAGAAGGGACGCACUUCUCCCGGCUUGCAAAGCGGUAGGGAGACGAUCGGGCCGCUGGCCGCUGUCUCGGCGUUCAGCAAUAGAGGCCUUCCCGGAUCUCCCGAGAGGCGGGGAGCGAGCCUGGGUCCAGCAGCCUUCUCCCUCCCGAGAACAGCAGAAAGGGGGGACUCGACAGAAUGACCUCUGUUUCCCCAAGGAAGUGCACUCUGACGAUAACCUCGGGAGGGACGAGAAGGGCCGCUCUUUCGGAGAGCGGCCGCCGCCCCUGGAGUAGGGGACUCAGUGGCCACGAAGGCCUUCCCUGCUCGCGACCUUUCCACGGGAAGGCACGAAGCUUCCGAUGGGGGCCCCGGGGCGCUCCUGACUUUUCUACGGCGCGAGGGCUCUGACUCUGCGGUUCAGGUUUGAAAGUCCUUUGGAAGCUCGCAAGUGGUGGUCUCCCACCACCUCCUCGGUCAUCGCAGGAAGAAGGCGCAGUGAGGGCGGGAGUCUGGAUGAGCGGAGAGUAGCCACCGCGGAGAAGAGUGCGGGCUUGCAGGAGCCGACGAAGAUAACUCGAAAUGUGGGCAGGAAAAACCUCCAUACCUUGGAUUCUAGAUCCCUGGGUCCCCUUACCCCAGGAGGGCACUAAUAGCUUACUCAGUGGUAUUGAGGCUGUCCAGCAGACCAUCCCACUUUGAUUUGGAAGAUCAGUGCCUAUGCAAGAGGAAAAGCAUGCAAUUGGGAAUAGGACAGAGGGUUUCCAGAGAGGAGGAACACCCAGGACAAAGGAGGGGUAACACGAAUUCCUGAGAACUGACCACCAAGUUCAUGACUUUUGGAGCCCAGACCAAAAGUCUUCUAGGGCCCAAGCUUGGGACAGAAGGAGUGGAUGCCACCAUCAGAGGAUGCCUGUUACCUCAAGGUAUGUCCAAGUAUGAGUAGGCCUGGGCACAAAGCCAGGUAAGCAGGACCUGCUUCAGGUGGGCAAGGUUACUGGAUCGCCUCAAGGAGAGGAUUCCCCAAGGCCCUGGUCAACAGGGCUGCUUUAAAAUUGUUGUAAUACCCAAGGACUUACUUUAGGAUACCCUACCCCACAUCAUAUAAAACGUAUUGAAAUGUACCAUGUCCCAGCUUAAAUAAAAUUUCUUUAGCUA